This 419-nucleotide ribosomal RNA is filed under the name uncultured bacterium. Its description in RNAcentral is "bacterial SSU rRNA". It matches the Rfam family "Bacterial small subunit ribosomal RNA", at positions 355 to 771 of the family's 1533-position model. The record is from RNAcentral.
UAAGGAAUAUUGGACAAUGGACGGAAGUCUGAUCCAGCCAUCCCGCGUGCAGGAUGAAGGCGCUACGCGUUGUAAACUGCUUUUGUACAGGAAGAAACGUGCCGACUUGUCGGCACCUGACGGUACUGUAAGAAUAAGCACCGGCUAACUCCGUGCCAGCAGCCGCGGUAAUACGGAGGGUGCAAGCGUUAUCCGGAAUCACUGGGUUUAAAGGGUGCGUAGGCGGCUCAGUAAGUCAGAAGUGAAAGCCUGCGGCUUAACCGUAGAAUUGCUUUUGAUACUGCCGAGCUUGAAUUAGGUUGAGGUUGGCGGAAUGUGACAUGUAGCGGUGAAAUGCAUAGAUAUGUCAUAGAACACCAAUUGCGAAGGCAGCUGACUAGACCUUAAUUGACGCUGAGGCACGAAAGCGUGGGGAGCGA